This 845-nucleotide ribosomal RNA is filed under the name uncultured organism. RNAcentral's name for it is "SSU rRNA". It matches the Rfam family "Bacterial small subunit ribosomal RNA", at positions 1 to 813 of the family's 1533-position model. The record is from RNAcentral.
AUUCGCCCUUAGAGUUUGUUUCUGGCUCAGGACGAACGCUGGCGGCGUGCUUAACGCAUGCAAGUCGAACGAAGAGCGAUGGAAGCUUGCUUCUGUCAAUCUUAGUGGCGAACGGGUGAGUAACGCGUAAUCAACCUGCCCUUCAGAGGGGGACAACAGUUGGAAACGACUGCUAAUACCGCAUACGAUCUAAUCUCGGCAUCGAGGAUGGAUGAAAGGUGGCCUCUAUUUAUAAGCUAUCACUGAAGGAGGGGAUUGCGUCUGAUUAGCUAGUUGGAGGGGUAACGGCCCACCAAGGCGAUGAUCAGUAGCCGGUCAGAGAGGAUGAACGGCCACAUUGGGACUGAGACACGGCCCAGACUCCUACGGGAGGCAGCAGUGGGGAAUCUUCCGCAAUGGACGAAAGUCUGACGGAGCAACGCCGCGUGAGUGAUGACGGCCUUCGGGUUGUAAAGCUCUGUUAAUCGGGACGAAAGGCCUUCUUGCGAAUAGUUAGAAGGAUUGACGGUACCGGAAUAGAAAGCCACGGCUAACUACGUGCCAGCAGCCGCGGUAAUACGUAGGUGGCAAGCGUUGUCCGGAAUUAUUGGGCGUAAAGCGCGCGCAGGCGGAUUGGUCAGUCUGUCUCAAAAGUUCGGGGCUUAACCCCGUGAUGGGAUGGAAACUGCCAAUCUAGAGUAUCGGAGAGGAAAGUGGAAUUCCUAGUGUAGCGGUGAAAUGCGUAGAUAUUAGGAAGAACACCAGUGGCGAAGGCGACUUUCUGGACGAAAACUGACGCUGAGGCGCGAAAGCCAGGGGAGCGAACAGGAUUAGAUACUCCGGUAGUCCUGGCCGUAAACGAUGGG